GCUACUGUGGCUCAGGGGUAGAGCACCACCUUGGUAAGGUGGGGGUCGCGGGUCCGAUUCCCGCCAGUAGCUCCA
RNAcentral lists this transfer RNA (75 nucleotides) under Clostridiales bacterium. RNAcentral's name for it is "tRNA-Thr". It matches the Rfam family "tRNA". Rfam says of the family: Transfer RNA (tRNA) molecules are approximately 80 nucleotides in length. The record is from RNAcentral. RNAcentral also lists the same sequence under 1 other name. Lineage: Bacteria; Bacillati; Bacillota; Clostridia; Eubacteriales.